Molecule: ribosomal RNA, 305 nt
Filed under: uncultured bacterium
Lineage: Bacteria
Description: partial 16S ribosomal RNA
Rfam family: Bacterial small subunit ribosomal RNA
Source: RNAcentral
AUCCUACGGGGGGCAGCAGUGGGGGAUAUUGGACAGUGGGGGGAACCCUGAUCCAGCGACGACGCGUGAGUGAAGAAGUAUUUCGGUAUGUAAAGCUCUGUCAGCAGGGAAGAAAGCAAUGACGGUACCUGACCAAGAAGCCCCGGCUAACUACGUGCCAGCAGCCGCGGUAAUACGUAGGGGGCAAGCGUUAUCCGGAAUCACUGGGUGUAAAGGGAGCGUAGACGGCUGAGCAAGCCUGAAGUGAAAGGCGGGGGCCCAACCCCUGGACUGCUUUGGGAACUGUACGGCUGGAGUGCAGGAGG